RNAcentral lists this ribosomal RNA (305 nucleotides) under uncultured bacterium. Its description in RNAcentral is "bacterial SSU rRNA". It matches the Rfam family "Bacterial small subunit ribosomal RNA", at positions 337 to 653 of the family's 1533-position model. The record is from RNAcentral.
GCCUACGGGGCGCAGCAGUCGAGAAUCAUUCACAAUGGGGGAAACCCUGAUGGUGCGACGCCGCGUGGGGUAAUGAAGGUCUUCGGAUUGUAAACCCCUGUCAUGUGGGAGCAAAUUAAAAAGAUAGUACCACAAGAGGAAGAGACGGCUAACUCUGUGCCAGCAGCCGCGGUAAUACAGAGGUCUCAAGCGUUGUUCGGAAUCACUGGGCGUAAAGCGUGCGUAGGCUGUUUCGUAAGUCGUGUGUGAAAGGCGCAGGCUCAACCCGCGGACGGCACAUGAUACUGCGAGACUAGAGUAAUGGG